GACGAACGCUGGCGGCGUGCUUAACACAUGCAAGUCGAACGGAAAGGCCCUGCUUUUGUGGGGUGCUCGAGUGGCGAACGGGUGAGUAACACGUGAGUAACCUGCCCUUGACUUUGGGAUAACUUCAGGAAACUGGGGCUAAUACCGGAUAGGAGCUCCUGCUGCAUGGUGGGGGUUGGAAAGUUUCGGCGGUUGGGGAUGGACUCGCGGCUUAUCAGCUUGUUGGUGGGGUAGUGGCUUACCAAGGCUUUGACGGGUAGCCGGCCUGAGAGGGUGACCGGCCACAUUGGGACUGAGGUACGGCCCAGACUCCUACGGGAGGCAGCAGUGGGGAAUAUUGCACAAUGGGCGGAAGCCUGGUGCAGCAACGCCGCGUGCGGGAUGACGGCCUUCGGGUUGUAAACCGCUUUCGCCUGUGACGAAGCGUGAGUGACGGUAAUGGGUAAAGAAGCACCGGCUAACUACGUG
RNAcentral lists this ribosomal RNA (468 nucleotides) under uncultured bacterium. RNAcentral's name for it is "partial 16S ribosomal RNA". It matches the Rfam family "Bacterial small subunit ribosomal RNA", at positions 28 to 507 of the family's 1533-position model. The record is from RNAcentral.